Molecule: ribosomal RNA, 388 nt
Filed under: uncultured bacterium
Lineage: Bacteria
Description: bacterial SSU rRNA
Rfam family: Bacterial small subunit ribosomal RNA
Source: RNAcentral
GGAUUGUAAACUUCUUUUAUAUGGGAAUAAAGUGCACCACGUGUGGUGUUUUGUAUGUACCAUAUGAAUAAGGAUCGGCUAACUCCGUGCCAGCAGCCGCGGUAAUACGGAGGAUCCGAGCGUUAUCCGGAUUUAUUGGGUUUAAAGGGAGCGUAGGCGGAUUGUUAAGUCAGUUGUGAAAGUUUGCGGCUCAACCGUAAAAUUGCAGUUGAUACUGGCAGUCUUGAGUGCAGUAGAGGUAAGCGGAAUUCGUGGUGUAGCGGUGAAAUGCUUAGAUAUCACGAAGAACUCCAAUUGCGAAGGCAGCUUGCUGGACUGUAACUGACGCUGAUGCUCGAAAGUGUGGGUAUCAAACAGGAUUAGAUACCCUGGUAGUCCACACAGUAAA